CCCCAGGUAGCACAUACCACGGUCUCUACUGGUAGCACUGCAGGUGAAGUUUGUGAGCUGCUGGGCACCAUUUACCUGAGCUCGUGUGACUUCAUCCCACUCAGUGACUUGCUGCCUCGUGGUGGACAAGCUGCUUGUAGCUCUUGGUGACUUCAGUUUCCCUGGGUAGCAUAGGAUCUUUGAUCUCUGGUUAGUGGCACAGUUUGCUCAGCAUUCAUACAGACGGCUUUGGGGAGGUAAGGGGUCCGUGGAACCAGGCUUCAGGUCCGUUCAGAACGUGUCUGUGCAGCACCUGAUGCGCUGCAGACCUCAGACCUGCCUGGCUCUUAAAACUGCUGCAAAGCUGCUUGCUCGGGAUGAUAAGCAGCCCUCACGUUGCAAUCCCUUUUCAAGCAGAGAACUGCGUCUGAAACAAUUGAUGGCAGCACAGCCACCGGCUUGCCCUUUAGUGGAUUUUUGCAGCGCAGCACUCUGUCUCGUCCAAUUUCAGACGAAUGCAGCGUGCUGGCAAGCUGUACGCCACGUGCUGCACAGCAGUGGGAGAGCCCCUGUGCAUCACUGCCUGCUCCAGCCCCAGCAAAGGUCUGCUGAGAAGCUUGCUUUCCUUUACAUGGUUGCUUUUCAAAGGAUGUUUGCAGAUUGCUGAUAGGAGGCAGGUGAGAUUUCUGCUUGUACCUGGAUGCUGAGCAGAAAGAACGUGGGUCCUCCUUGAGUAGCAUGAGGCCAGGUGACUUCUGAUGAUGGUCCUGUAAUGAGAUUUUUCAUCCUCUCUCUCUUCCUGUUCUCAGAAGAGCUCGGAUUAAAGAUGAACUCUGAAGCACGAUGGGACGGAUCUGCCUGCCUCUGGCUGGAGCAGACACAGGAGAGCCGGGGAUUAUUACUUGGCCAGUUUGUAGGUUUGUUUGAAGUGGUGCUUUGAUGUGGCAAUGGGAGUUGAUGGAAGGUAAACGGUGUCUAGACAGGUUUUUCCUCGCUCUGUUGUUGUUUCUGAAGCAGCAGCAGUGCCAAACAGGCUGAACAGCUCCGGGAUGCAAGAAGCAGGGCUAUUUCUAGAAAGAGAGAACAAUGGCUCUUUAGGAAGAUCCAAACCAGUUCUCACCGAACCCCUGUCAAACCCGCUGCUCUUCCAUGCCCUGCACACUGCCUGGGUCAGUUAAUUGCAGCAAGAUGCUGGUGAGAGCGAGCGAGGGGAAGCCCAAGAGGUAGCCAGCACAUCUCCGGGUGAGCCGGCGUGGUGGAGAGGUACAGGAGAGGUCAAUUAACCAGUGCCCUGGCCAGCACGGUUGGGAACUCAGGAGGUGAGCUGGUUUUGGCAGCAUUUGGAGAGGGACCAGGCUGACUGUAGUAGCAGUGUGCUAGGACUCCCUCAGUGUGCUUGGUGGGAUGCUGCCAGGAUUUAGUGCCCCGCAGAGCUGGCCUGGCUGCCCAGUAACAACUGCAGCCAGUGGUUCAGCUACACUGGGAGGGGAAGAAGAGGCAGGCCAUGAUCUAGAGAGACUUGUCGCUGGCUGGCAAGCUGUGCUUUCAGUGCUGUCUUGACUCCAAUGUGCCAUCUCCCCCAGGCUGUUAGGGAGGGGAAGUGGAGACUGCAUUCAAAUGCCUAUUGUCUGUCCUUCAGCUGGGAGCAGAGCCAGAAGAGAGAGAGGCUCUGGCAGCAUCUGAUACAGGGGGCAGAUGUUAGGGGAAACAUACUCAUCCAUAAAACGCUGUCGCUGGGAUUUUCAAGGGAGCCACAAAGGUUAAGUGCCCGUGUUUUGGAACGUGUACAUGAAGGUCGCAGAGAAAUCCUGGGCUCCUGGGAUCCUUGCUAGGCUUGGAGAAGCUUUUUGAAGGGUUUUUUUGAAGGGAUGAGCCCUCAUGCAGCAUCUGUGGGCUGUCCCAGGUGAAUGCUAUUCUCAGGCCCAUUUGUUUAAGCAUAGCCAGGGAGAAGGGCAAAGGUGCACAGAGCCAGAUUUGAUCUCCUGUGGGGGCCUUCAGAGGUGUGUAGCUCUUUGAGUUCAGCGUGGCUCCCUUCUCUUGUAGCCAGCUGCCAACUUCUGCAAGCACGAGCUGAAAGUAGAGUAUUUCCUGACCCUGCCUGUCCUCUCCCUUCACCCCUGCCAAAGCAGGGCUCGGCCACAGGUUUCAAGCAGAGCUGGAAACUUGGCGCCGAGGCAAGGAGCAGAAAAGAGCCCAGCUUGCUCUCCUCUGUCUGGGUUGGCUUCUGUACUGCUGCGGGGAGUACAAAUAUGUUCGCAAUCUGUUUGCUUCACUGACAUGACUCCAAGACACACAGGCAACAGAUACACUGACCAAGAAGGGGCCAUUGUUAGAGGGACCUCCUUGACUGUGGCUCUGCUGUAAGCAACUGACCGCUGCAGCUCCGCAGCGCUGGAACGCAGCCUCCCCGUGUCUCAUCCGCACCACUGAGAGCGCCCAGUCCCCCAGGGACCCCCUGCACAUUAGCAGGGGUUCAGUCCUGCUUUACUCGAUUUGCCCACCUACGUGCCCCGAUCUGGCUUUUUGAUUUAAAUGCCCGUCUCUGGCAGGCUGGUAUUAAAUCAAGCCGCAGAUUAAAGAAGUUGCAGUCGUUGCUUCCCUGUGAACCGUCCCUUUAUGUUAACUGCUGCUUUGCUAAUUGCACACAGGCAGACAUCCAGAGCAGGCAGAGAGCUUGCUCUGCACUGGAAGCUGGGGAGCCAAGGAACUGAUGGACAGGUUAGCGUUUUGGCUAAGGAGGAAUAAGGGCUCCAAGAGAACCAGAGAAGAGGAAGAGAGUUACCUCAUCGGCUUCCAGCAGCCGAGGCAGGGUUGUCCUCCAAGAGGUAUUUCCUUAAGCUUUAUCCAGUCCGAAUUUAGUUGCAACUUUUAUGAACAAUAAAGGCUUCCACUGUUUCCCUUGGAGGACCUGGAAGGAAUCCAAAUAGAUUUUAGUGCUGCAAAGCAGAUCCUGUUAUUAAUGUCAGCCUAAUAAUUUCUUUCCAUCUCCUUCCCACCUUUCUUGCCAUUCAUACUCUUAAAAAGCCUACAGACAGUUAUCAAGUCCAGUCCACCCUCUACUUUAGCUCCUUCUUAAAUUACAGACAGAAUUGUAACCCUGCAUAUGGCUUUUGGGUCUGUGAGAGCAUUUAGUGUCCCUGUACCAGACUAGUGUGCCUCAGGAGAGGCCUGGCAGCUCCACAUGUAAACCCCAAAACCAGCAGAACAGUGAAAUGGAGCUAAGCUGACCUGGGGAACAGCACGUGGCCAGGAACGCGCUUCCCUGCAGAGCAGCAACCCUUCCGCUGCUGGGCCUGUGGCUCUGGGAAAAGGGCUGUGACCAGGGCUCAACUGGGAGCAGUCGGCUGAGAAAAUUCUCUGCUAAAAAUAGCUGCAAGAUAUGUUUAAGGAGAAAAACAAGUCAGGGUCUGGGAGAAGUUCUCGGAUAUGUGGCUCACUCAACUCCCCCAGGACAAGGAAUCUUUGAACCUCUCUGGCCGAAGCUCAUUUCUGCUCUGUUAAACAAGCUUGCUCUGGUCAGGAAUCCAGGUUGGGACAAGGCAGAAGGGCUUUACUCCUCCCUCUUUGCUCUGACGUUGCCUUACUUUCCUCCUGCUUCUGCUGCUAAUUUAUGCCAGCAUCUUCCUAGCAGUGCUCUCUCUGCAUCUAGUUUCUCAUCUGUCUGUCAGUGACUUCAUUUGGGCUACCUUUAAUUCCUGAUGCGCUUCCUAAGGAAAUCCGUUGAACCCUGCAGUACAACUCCCUCUGCAGGUCUGAAGCCUGUGCUCGGGCUGAUGUUAAUAAGGUAAGUCUUUUUGGAUCUGUUACUGCGAUUCAGGGCAGCCCCUGGAAGGAUAUUCCCCCAACUCACGUCUUCAGGCCUUCACGUGGCCCACGCAGCUUUCUGCUGAAUGCAGUUUUCCCCUGUAAAUCUGCAUCCUUUGUUCUGACAGAUUCACUGCAAAGCUUCAAAGCGGCCGUGGAGCAGACAGCCCCACCUCUCCCGCGUGGAAUGAUGGCAGUAGUUUCACAGGCUCCGGGUAGCAAGCUCAUAGGCAGAUGUGAUUGCUCCCUUGGUGCCUGCAGUCACUUGCUGGCAACAUUCAUUUGUACAUGUUUUGUGCAACACAUUAGCUACACAAUUGUGUUUUAUACCCCAGGCUAGAAUUAUACACAUGAAAAAGAGAGGCAAAAUGAUACUGUAAAAUCUGAAAGAAAAAAAAUGCUCUUAAAAGGAGAGCUGUUUUCAGUCUUGUCAUAAAUGCUUUCUGUGUGUGCUUGCUCACGCCCUCUCCCGUUCCCUUCUCUAGCCUGCUAUCAGCUCCUGGCUCUGAUGACUGCUACUUCUCCCCAGCUCCCAUUUUCCACAGGAAGAUGACACGGUUGGUCUCUGAUAAGCAGAACUUCAAAUCUGUGCUUUGUUGGUCAAGCUAUAGGCUGGAGGAGACCUAAGGAUCAAGAGAUUAGAGUCACAGACAGAGGAAUAGAGGAUUAUAGGCUAAAACCCUGUGAGUCUCUGUAUUGAUGGCUGGGACACAGCCAGACACUAAAGAGCAUUGCAAAGCCUGGUGCUGAUAGCAUAUCCGCUUAUUUCCUGUCUUUGCAUUUCAGGCAGCUUUUGAUACGUGUGUCCUCAUCAAAAGGCAGGGUCAGGCAGGUAUCGAGCACCCUAGCUCCUGUGGAAGUCAAAUACCUGCUGAGACCAAGUCUGUGCAUCGGCUGGCACUCAGCCUGGAAAACGUCACUUUGGCUUAUGAGAUUCUCAGCAAUCCUUGAGUCAAAUUCCCACACAAGGGAAAAAAAAACAAACUUGUCCCACUUGCCCCUUUCCCGUUACAGAUCAUUCUGUCUCCCUGAUCCUGUUCACAGGUCCCUGCCAUGCAUCACUGGCCUGACUCUACCCUGGAGACUUCCUUUAACAUCUGUCUGCUGCCAAGAGAUCCUGUCGGGAGGAAGGGAGAGGACAGGAGGAAGACCAUUGCCUCUGGCUCUUAUCACAGUUAUCAGCUGGUUCCCUCCCACUUGGCACUAAUUUGGUAUCAGCAUCUGCCACUUUUAGGAGGAAAGGGACUUGCUGAAGUGAAAAAUAAUGUAGGAUGUGCCAAUAUGGCAAUUCUUGGGGCUGGCUUGGAAAAGAAUGGAAGGCAAGUGGGAAUAGGCAGGAAGGGCUGGUUUCAGAUUUUCCCUGUGCAAAUAUUCCCACUUCUCUUUAGUGCUCACCACUUUUGUCCUUCACUUUUGCUGUUGUAAGGUCACAGAAUUAUACAUCCACUGCAGGCUGAUGUGGUGUAUUCCUUACUCUUCUGUAACUUCCCAAUCCUCAUUUUCUUCCUCCAGUGAACUGGGCUGUACAUCCUUACUUAACUGGAGGUGACACUGAAUUUGAGGAGACCAAAGCUUAACUGAUGAAUGUAAAGCCCUUUAAUAGAUCAAAGUGAUCACGGGGAAACAGUGCACAAGAGUUUCAACAGACAUCCAGGGGCCCAACCAGCUGUAUUCCUUGGGUUUUCGUGUCCUAAAGCAGAGGUGGGGAUGAGCUGACCUCUUGAGGUCUGCUCCUGCCCUGUUUUCAGUGAAUGCACUAAUUUUCAUGGUCAAGUAUUGGCUGUGAGCCUGCCCAGUGUGAAGAGGUAAUUAAGCUGUUCAUUUGUUAAUGAAAAUGGCACAAACAAUGCUCAGUACAAUGUGACCGUUUUAAUACAUACCUAGCCAAGUCAUCUGUAA
Long non-coding RNA from Cygnus olor (mute swan), 5682 nucleotides. RefSeq lists it as uncharacterized. Lineage: Eukaryota; Metazoa; Chordata; Aves; Anseriformes; Anatidae. The transcript has 2 exons. The record is from RefSeq and is a predicted model, not a curated record.